AUGGAUACGGUGCACAUCGACCUCCAGCUGGAGAUACUCCGCCGCCUGCCCCCGCGCAGCCUCGCCGUCUCCCGCUGCGUCUGCACGGCCUGGCGCGCCGCCAUCGACCACCACCGCCCCCUACACGCCGAUCUUCUCCCGCUCUCCGUUGACGCCGCUGUCUACGACGAACUCAUCUUCGAGCCACCGAGGCUCUUCGGGCGCCCCUCCACCACACGCCACAUCACCAGCGACCUUGACUACCUUGGGGACAAAUGGUUAGACGUUCCCGGCGUACAGGAUCACUGCAACGGCCUUUUCCUGGUCCGCAAGGCCAAGGUAGUCAAUCCGGCCACGCGGCAGUGGGCGCUGCUGCCCCUACUGCCGUGCGUGUGCUCAUGGCCGCCCAUGUGCGCCCGGCGCUGCCACAACAACCGCUACCUCGUCUAUGACCCCACCAUCUCACCACACUACCAGGUGCUCUACACCCCUCGUCUUCCACCACCUGAUGACAUGACCUGCGGGCGCGGCGGCGCCGAGUGGCCGCCUACGCCGUAUGUCAUGCAUGUCUUCUCGUCAACGACAAACAGUUGGAAGGAGACGUCGUUUGUUCGAGAAGGUGAGGCUGCUGCCGUUGCUGGAACCGUUGACGAUGCUAAUUCACGUCGCGACCGUGAUGAGCAUAUGUACUAUGCUGCUUAUUGGCAAGGGUCGCUCUACGUUCCUUCCCCACACGCAAAGGACGAUUUUCUUUUCAGAAUAAACUUGUCGAGUGACAACUACCAGCUAAUUAAGUUGCCAAAAGGAGGAGUAGGAUCACAUUUUCGUCUAGGCAAAUCAAAGAAAGGGGUCUAUUGUGUAGUGAACACCAAUGUGCGAUGCACGUUUCGAGUUUGGUUUCUUCACGAAUCGUCUGGUCUGACAGACUGGGUUUUCAAGAAUGAAAUCAACCUUCAGCCAGCAUUUAGUAAACAAGAUUGGCACCCUGGACCAUGGAUCCCACAGUCGCCUGAGCAGAUACUGUUGUUGUUGAAGAGUGAUGUCAACCCUAAGCUCGUAGAUGAAUACAACGAAGCACUAGCGAGAGAUGGUUUUGAUUGGGACUCUGACGAUGAAGAUCUUGUUAGCAUUACAGAUUGGCCUAAAAAGUGUGACACUUCCAUUGAUGGUCCUGACUGUAUUGGUUUCCAUCCCUAUAAAGAAAUUGUCUUGUUUAAUGAAAGAGGGGUGUGCUCUUGUUCAACGGUAGCCUAUCAUUUAAGCAACUCAAGGGUAAGAUACCUGGGUAAGAUGAGGCCCCAAUGUCACUAUUCAAUGGAAGAGAUUUCUUUUGCGUAUUUCGUUUCAAGAUAA
RNAcentral lists this ribosomal RNA (1332 nucleotides) under Triticum aestivum (bread wheat). RNAcentral describes it as "partial small subunit ribosomal RNA". The record is from RNAcentral. Lineage: Eukaryota; Viridiplantae; Streptophyta; Magnoliopsida; Poales; Poaceae.